RNAcentral lists this non-coding RNA (30 nucleotides) under Mus musculus (house mouse). The record is from RNAcentral. Lineage: Eukaryota; Metazoa; Chordata; Mammalia; Rodentia; Muridae.
UGCCAUACCUACCUUUGGUCUUUAGUGCCA